AUGCAUUAUCUCAAACAUUUGGUAAGCACCACAACUAGAGAAACUAUAUAUAUAUAUAUAUAUAUAUAUAUAUAUAUGUGCCAAGGGACUGAACAAAGCACGGCUAUUCAUUCAAAAGCAGAUAAUGAUCAACACACAAGAAGGGGAACAUGCCAGCACAAAGUAAAACCAACAUGUGUUUGCAGCUACCUGAUGUCCAAAGCUCAUUUUGACUACGGAUGUCAAUCAUGCUCUUCUUUUUCCCUUGCUACUUGUUGCCUCUGCAGCAAAAUUGUAGUAGCAAAGCACCUUAAAUUAAUUGACAAAAGAGGCACCUCUAUUCACAAAAGAGAGAGUAUGUCCAAUAUGUUGACAUUGUUUAACAUGGCAGUCUGCAAAUUCUAUUGUGCAUCUACAAAUCUUAUCAUACUGUAA
Molecule: ribosomal RNA, 414 nt
Filed under: Triticum aestivum (bread wheat)
Lineage: Eukaryota; Viridiplantae; Streptophyta; Magnoliopsida; Poales; Poaceae
Description: partial small subunit ribosomal RNA
Source: RNAcentral